This 253-nucleotide ribosomal RNA is filed under the name uncultured bacterium. Its description in RNAcentral is "partial 16S ribosomal RNA". It matches the Rfam family "Bacterial small subunit ribosomal RNA", at positions 524 to 776 of the family's 1533-position model. The record is from RNAcentral.
UACGUAGGCAGCGAGCGUUGUUCGGAAUUACUGGGCGUAAAGAGUGUGUAGGCGGUGCUCUAAGUUCGGUGUGAAAUCUCCUGGCUCAACUGGGAGGGUGCGCCGGAAACUGGAGUGCUUGAGCGUGGGAGAGGAUAGCGGAAUUCCCAGUGUAGAGGUGAAAUUCGUAGAUAUUGGGAAGAACACCGGUGGCGAAGGCGGCGACCUGGUCCGAUACUGACGCUGAGGCGCGAAAGCGUGGGGAGCAAACAGG